This is a long non-coding RNA of Zingiber officinale, 2316 nucleotides long. RefSeq lists it as uncharacterized. The record is from RefSeq and is a predicted model, not a curated record. The transcript is spliced from 9 exons. Lineage: Eukaryota; Viridiplantae; Streptophyta; Magnoliopsida; Zingiberales; Zingiberaceae.
CUCACCCGUGCCCUAAACGCCCAAUCCCCUCUCCUUCUCCCCUCUCGCGACCCUUUCUCUCCUUCUCCCUCACGUGGCGACGAAUCUGAUCAUUUCCCCCUUCCUCUUCCUCUCUUCUCUUCCGUCCCUACCCAAGCGCUGACGACGCGUGAGCCACUGCCGACGGAAGCUUCAAGUCCUCCCCUUUUCCUCUUCCCCUUCUUCCUCUUCCCCUUCUUCCGUGCCCUAGCCCCCUUCUCGGCUCAUCUCCUCCGCCUCUACUCGUCGUCCCUGAUCCUCGUGGCUCGAUACCGGCUGUUCGGGCCCUAGAGCUGAUCACCGCUGAGCCCUAGAUCCGUCCAACUCUCGCAUCACCCUGGUUGCAACGAUCAACACCGGUCGCCAGCUGCGGCACCUCUCCACGGUACGAUCUUCAACCAAGGGCAGCGAGCCAUGCCCUAGCCAUCUCCCGCUUGCCUCUGGCUACUGCCAUCGCCAAUCGACCGACACCGCCCAGAACCGCCCGGCACCUCCUGGUGGAGCCGACGCCUCUCCUCUCUUCACUGCGCUGAUUUCCUCUAGAGAGGGAAACUACCAGUUAGGGGUGUUUGUUCUGGAAAUCUGCAACUCCAUCUCGCUGCAACAAUCAAUUUCGGCAAUGGGUUCUCUAGCUGUGGAUCACUGGCUGAGGAUUUCGAGUUGGAGUAAUCCUUUGUAGCUUAGCCAACACUGUUCGCUGGUGAUCCACAGCAUCAAUUAUUCUGUUUUGGGCAAGGAACCCCUUCGAUCGUGAGCUAUCAGCGACCAUCUUGGAUUUGGGACUUUGAUUCGAGACAGUGUCUCGACGUGGGGUCUAUUUUGGAGACAAUCUUCACUUUUUGAGGCAGGUUAUUCAUGAAAAGCAAAAAGAAUGUACGCUGCAUUAUCGAAUGAUCAAACUUGUGAGGCUGCGAUAUCGAACAAGUUCUCAAACAUGAACGACCCAAAAUGGAGAGAUGAUGUGGAGGUUUAUGAAUGCGGCACUUCAAACUUGGAGGGGGGAAAAUGUUACUUGGCCAUGAAACAACGUGAAAAUGUGGUGUCGUACGACACAAUAUUGUCAGAAGGAGGACCAAAUAUAUUGAUACAUCAUGUUCCACUUGGGAGAGGGAAUUUCAAGGUAUCUAUUGAUGUUGUCAUAGAUGAUGGAGCAGAGCUUCCAAUCCCAAUUCGGUCUAGAACAACAAUUAUUAAUGAUGCUAUUGGAACAAUUGUUCCUUGGCCUAAAGAGUUAGUAAUUUUACCAAUGAAGAAGGUACCUUCAAUUUCUAUCAAAAGUUGGUAUUUGAAAAAAAAAACUUAAUUAUCAUUUGAAUACUCAUAUGAAUAUUUUAAAAUAUUGUAGAAGAAUGUGCAACCUCAAUCAUUUGCUCUUUCAGAUGUUCAUGUUCAUCAAGACAAGUAUAAGGAAAUUGAAAAAACAUUGCCGAUGGCAUGCAAAUAUAUCUAUUCUUAUGUUGUGAGAUUGAUGUCUAAAGAUGAGAGCAUACACAAAAUUUGAUGAAGCUAUGUUUGGAUGUCUUAAAAGUACAUAGUUGCUAAGAGAAGAUAUCUUACAUUUUAUGGAGAUGAAAGAGAUGGGUGCUAGGCAAAUUUUGGUUUACAUGGGGUAUGUUAUGUCUUAAAUAUAAUAUUUGUUCAAAUGGUAUGAUUUGUUUGCAAUAUUUGUUCAUGUUUUCACUUUGGUUUACAUCGGGUAUAUUUAGAUUUAUCAUUACUUUGUCAUUACUUUGCAAUUACCAUGCAGUUACCUUUACAAAUAUUAGAAGAAAGAAAAUAGAGCUGAGUAUGUCUCAUUUGGGGAUCCUAGUCACAUACCUACAUGUGGUAUGGGCGAAGAAGGUACCAUUAGAUCCUGACUAUAAUUAAUGAAGAUAAGAAUAUGAUAUAUUUAUUGGAUUCUUUGACUAAUAGGAACUGAGAUCAUGCUUGGCAAACUAUUGUGACCAAUGGGGUUAAAGUAUACAAUGCAUCAAGAGGUAUUUCAAAAUGACCUGGUUUUAAACAAUUGACGGGUAAUCUAAAACAAAAUGGUAGUGUUGAACGUAGAUAUCAUGUAAUGCGGUACAUGAAAAAGAUAGUCUUGGAUGAAUAUUCACAAUUGGAGAUGAAGUUUGCAAUAUCAAAGAAUAAAACAUAUUACAAUCAAUCUCAGUAUGAUGAAGUCAAAAGUGAAUGGAGCGAAUUCGUCUACUUCUAUAUAGUUGCUUAAGUGCAUGUGAUAUAAAUUUUGGAUUGUAUUUAAAGAUUUACAGAUACAAAAUCUUUUUGGUUAUGAUUAAAUAUGUCUUUUAUUAA